GACGAACGCUGGCGGCGUGCUUAACACGUGCAAGUCGAACGGAAAGGCCCUGCUUUUGUGGGGUGCUCGAGUGGCGAACGGGUGAGUAACACGUGAGUAACCUGCCCUUGACUUUGGGAUAACUUCAGGAAACUGGGGCUAAUACCGGAUAGGAGCUCCUGCUGCAUGGUGGGGGUUGGAAAGUUUCGGCGGUUGGGGAUGGACUCGCGGCUUAUCAGCUUGUUGGUGGGGUAGUGGCUUACCAAGGCUUUGACGGGUAGCCGGCCUGAGAGGGUGACCGGCCACAUUGGGACUGAGAUACGGCCCAGACUCCUAAGGGAGGCAGCAGUGGGGAAUAUUGCACAAUGGGCGGAAGCCUGAUGCAGCAACGCCGCGUGCGGGAUGACGGCCUUCGGGUUGUAAACCGCUUUCGCCUGUGACGAAGCGUGAGUGACGGUAAUGGGUAAAGAAGCACCGGCUAACUACGUG
This 468-nucleotide ribosomal RNA is filed under the name uncultured bacterium. RNAcentral's name for it is "partial 16S ribosomal RNA". It matches the Rfam family "Bacterial small subunit ribosomal RNA", at positions 28 to 507 of the family's 1533-position model. The record is from RNAcentral.